GUAACUCUAGGACUUAUUGAAUUUCUCAAUAACAAACAAUCUGGCGUCGCCUGAAGUCGCGUGGUCGCGUGCUCUUCGAUUUCAACAACUAAAUGGUAGUUAAAACGAUGGAAGAAAGUCGGGAGGCUUCGGUUGCAAGUAGGAAUAUCUCAAAUGGACCGGGUGGCGAGCAGAACCCAGUGCAACUUGAUCAUUGUUAUGCAAAACCAUGGAAUUGGCGGCAAGAAAUGGCCCAUUGCAAACCCGCCCGCAUUCUUUUUGCAGAGGAAAAUUUCCCUGUCUGUGGUGAUGAAGUAAUAGAUGUUGAAGUCCCUCUCAUUCCAAAACAUCACCCAAUAUUGAAUAGAGAGAUGACAGAAAAAAAUUAUAUGGAAUCGGUCCAAAAAUUCAAUCUUCUUUUAACAGAGGAAACCUCUUCUGAUUGGGAAGAAACUGUGAAACGAGAUGGUUGGACACCAUUACAAAACAGGAUUUUUAAUAAGGUGGUAAAGCUGCUUGUUGCAGACAACAUGGCUAGGCUAGCUACAGAACAACUUGAAAAUGAAGCCGUACAAAAGAAAAUUAAUGUUGAAGGAUCAGCCAAGAAAUUAAGAAUUAUUUUGUCAUCAGUGGCAUGGGAUGUUAAAAUUACCCAAUGGCUACACUUGACCCUUAUUGAACACCUCAGCCGGGAUUAUUUGUUGUGUUACAUAAACAUCUUGCAAGUGCUUCAGAGCAGAGUGCCUACGUUGGUUGAAAGAAUAUUGAACACCCCACUGACUAAUAACAAGCUCUCUUCGCUGAACAACCAAAUUUUGAACUUUGUUGUUGGCAAACCUUGGGAACCGGCAUUAAAUCCAAGCACUCUGGCAAAUGCCAAAGGUCCCCCUAUGGCACCAUUAAUCAUUAUGGUACCUUCAGGAACCAACAACUAUAAUUCAUUGUCUAGUCUAAACGGAUCGAGGCGCUUCCAGACGUGGCAUAACCUUCUACAGACUUUAGGAAGAGUUACAACGGUUUCCCUCCAGGCAUCACCUUCGCCGCAUACCCUAUCUUUGCCCGUGCUUGUUGAAUCUAUCAUCAAUGCAACCUUACAGAAAGUACAGGAGUUGAAAGCAAGUUGCCCGAAUCGGCCAAUCGUUCUUGCUGGCCUUCAGCAAGGAGCCUUAAUAGCGGCUCAGGUCGCUUACAUGGAGCCAGUUACUGCGUUACUUUGUUUAGGCUUUCCACUUUUCUGUGUGGAUGGUAAGCGAGGUGAACCGGAUGAUUUCAUUCUGGACAUCAAAUGUCCGACGAUGUUGGUGGUUGGUCAAUCUUCUUCGACAUGCACAGUAGAUGGAAUUGAGCAACUCCGGCACCGAAUGAAAGCGGAAUCUUCCCUCAUAGUAGUAGAUGGUGCUGUGGACUCUUUGCGAAUGCUUAAAUGGAAGAGAAAGCUGCAGAAUGUAACCCAGUCUAUGGUGGAUGCUUGCAUUUUGGAAGAAAUUUCUACAUUUUUUUCAACAGUUUUAACCCAAGCAGCUGCCGCGACUACAGGCAAAAAGAGCCCACCUGAGCGUAAAUCAGAUGGGACGCCCUUAGUCGGAGGAGCAACGAAAAGACCAAGGCAUCCUGUAGACACGGAAGAUUCGAUGCAUGCGGCCUUGAGCGGCCAUAAUUAUUCUCAAAGCACUCCAUUCGCCCCGCCGUGGAAAGGUCGUAGCGGGACUGGGCUUCGCGUGCGAGGCGGCCGAGCAGGGCCUGGACAUUCAAGCAAAAUUCCAUAUCAAAGAGCAACCUCCGAAAUGUCACCGUCCACUCCAAAAGGUCGAAUUGCGCGUUCUGUCAGUACUUACCGUGCGCAGCCCAGCUCCGCUGAAAUUUUACCGGCCCGUGGAUUGGCACAGCGAUCAAACACGUCUAAUCCUUUAGACAACGUGGAAAUUGAUUGCAAGUCAAGCGUUGGCAGUUCUCAAGGGUCACCAAAAGAGGAAGGAACACACCCGCUCAUGGAAUGCAAGGGAGGCGGCGACAGCUCCGAGACUGAAUCGGCACCGCCCGCCGAUGACGAUGACGAGAUUAUGGAAGACCUGCGUUUUUGUAAUGAAUUUAUGAAUAAACAACAGCAGAGCCAAGUGCCUCAAAAAGAAGAGGAAGGAAGCAUGCAAGAAGAUGAUUUCUGCCUCAAAUAUUCCGGUGACGAGGCUGAUGACUUACCUCUAGUCGACGUUUGCCGACGACUCAGUGCAGAAAAUCGAAACCGAAAUCAAAACAGCAAGAACACACCUGCGGCGACGCCGGAGUAGAUUAGCCCUUCGUAUUUAUCACAUGUAUCACUCACCUGCCUCUCUCCGACGGGCAGACGUUUCGAAAUCAAUCCUUCAGAGAAAUUUGUGUCUCGAACGGCGUUGAAAGAGACGAAAAGAGGUAACACAUUAAGGGAGGAUCGUGUCGUGUCAUCGUCGCAAGAAAAAUCUCACCGAAGAUGGCCGACCCAGCUGUAAUAGAUCCCGCUCGGCUGAUGGAAAAAAGUUCUCGACUCUCUCGUGCGCGACCAUUUUACACAGUGGAGAAAAAAAAAAAAACCCAAACAAGAAGUUUGUUUUCUCUUUGAAAACCAAAAGAAAGGAAGAAGAAAAAGAAAAAAGCAGGCAGAAAUGGAUAAGAUACAUACAUUAGUUUUUGGUGAUGCUAGUGAGCAGCUAAUGCAACUUAGUGCUCUCUUUCUCCCAAACGGACGCAAUCAUUGACGGGGUAUGUAUAUUUUUGACCCCCGCACGAGGUUGAUGAGGUGUCACUGUUUUCUCUGGCGCCCAAGCGAACGCUCAUUAGCAAGGGCUAUAUGCAAGCUGUACUUCAGGACUACUAGCUGAUGCUUUCGUCCGUCUUCACCAAACAGUUUUCUUCUUCGUCGGCGCUGUCUCUACUGUCUUUAAACAUUCUAAAAGCCAUAUGUGUCACUCUUGCACCGGAUCCGUUUGCUGUGCCCAGUGUGGCGAACGCUGCAUCCGUCGCCGCUAUAUCUCGGAUAAAGACAAGAAAGAAAGAAUUAAAAAAAACAAAAUCAUCUUCCGUAAUUCAUCUGGGGCUGCCCGUCUAUCGGAACAAUAGGUAGAUGCGGAGUCCGUCUCCAUCGUGAUUGAAGAAAGAGAAAUUUCAGCUGGGAAACUGGACGGGGAAAAAAACGAGAUGGUGCUCCUGCACAUGGUGAUGGCAAUGCGGUCGAUUCGGGUCAGCGGGUGUUCGCCAUGAAAAACGGCCAGGAAAUCCAGCUUCUGUUCCGGAAUUCAAAAAUAAUAAUCAUAAAAGAAGAGAGCUACCAUCAAUAGCUUCUUUAUUCUCACCAUCAAACAUUGCCAUCAG
This 3321-nucleotide unclassified non-coding RNA is filed under the name Daphnia magna. RNAcentral's name for it is "kAT8 regulatory NSL complex subunit 3, transcript variant X1". Lineage: Eukaryota; Metazoa; Arthropoda; Branchiopoda; Diplostraca; Daphniidae. The record is from RNAcentral.